Molecule: non-coding RNA, 87 nt
Organism: Acanthosepion pharaonis
Lineage: Eukaryota; Metazoa; Mollusca; Cephalopoda; Sepiida; Sepiidae
Source: the annotation of a GenBank genome assembly
AUCACCGAUUCCCGCACCGAAGUUAAGCAAUGUCGAACCUGUUCAGUACCUAGAUGGGUGACCGCUUGGGAAUACCAGGUGCUGUGA